Paramuricea clavata is the source of this 328-nucleotide non-coding RNA. NCBI's taxonomy places the organism in Eukaryota, Metazoa, Cnidaria, Anthozoa, Malacalcyonacea, Plexauridae. The record is from the annotation of a GenBank genome assembly.
UAAAUCUGUAGCUGAUUUCUCUUACUAUUAAUAAAAGUUGUUGUCUGAGUCACUGAGUGUUCUGAUUGGCCAGUGCCAGCAGUCUCUACCUCCCCUGGUGCUCUAGCCUGCAAACAGGCGUUUAUUCAGGUGGGACCACGACCCACCUGAAUAAACGCCUGUUCGUAGGCUAGACCUCGGUUGGAUAUUUUCCCGUACUGUCCUCGGGUCAGUUAUUAAUAAAUUAACUAUAUUUAAAGUUAAAUCCUCUUAACCGUGGAGCUAAACAUUCAUAGCCAUAGGCCGUGUAUUUAUUUAAUAUGACUAUGUAUAGGCUGGUAUAUGCUUC